AAUUACAAAACAAGUGCGAGAACGUUGAUAAAUGAUGAUAUAAUUAU
This 47-nucleotide non-coding RNA is filed under the name Trypanosoma brucei brucei. The record is from RNAcentral. Lineage: Eukaryota; Euglenozoa; Kinetoplastea; Trypanosomatida; Trypanosomatidae.